AGCUCCCAUUCAGAGACAAGGGAGCAUUUUUAAAAAGGGAAAACCAUGUUAUCCACAGCUUUGUGUUUGUACAGCACUACAUGCAAACAGUGUCCCCUUUGGCACUACUUUAUCUCCUAUUGUUUACGACAAGAUGAGGCUUGCAUGAGUGUGGCCUAACAGAGCUCCAUGGAGAAAUUGGUGAGGUAAUGGGUCCAUGUUACUUCUGGGGAGCUUCCAAGUAGACACAAGAGGAAAAUUUUUCACAAUGAAGCCAAUCAGCCAUUGGGAUAGUCUCCUGAGGGAAGUGGUGGAUUCCCCAAUACUGGAUACUUUUAAGAUUUGUCCAUUUGUGGUUGUCUGUCUUGUCCAGACUGUGUUUUUGGCAAAAAAGGUUAGGCCAGAUGAUCCUUAUGGUCCCUUCCAGCUUUUAGCACUGAUGG
This is a long non-coding RNA of Passer domesticus (house sparrow), 422 nucleotides long. RefSeq lists it as uncharacterized. Lineage: Eukaryota; Metazoa; Chordata; Aves; Passeriformes; Passeridae. The record is from RefSeq and is a predicted model, not a curated record. The transcript has 3 exons.